This 424-nucleotide unclassified non-coding RNA is filed under the name Hevea brasiliensis (rubber tree). Lineage: Eukaryota; Viridiplantae; Streptophyta; Magnoliopsida; Malpighiales; Euphorbiaceae. The record is from RNAcentral.
CUUCUUCCGAUUUGUUAAUUGUGACAUCAUCAGUUUAUCAUAAGCUUUUUCAAGCCGAGCAGCAGUUGCUUCAUCACCUAUCCUCUCAGCCUCCUUUCGCUUUUUUGUAUACACUGCAUGUCAAACCCCUCAAUGGGGCUCACACCAAGGACCUCAUAUGGAUUUAGAUCACUGUCUGGACUUGAACUUCCAGCUGCAGAUGCGGCAGUACAAAUCACCCUUCUAUUCUCCGGAAAUCUUCUAGAAAAUCUGACGGAUGGAGGAGCUAAUAUUGAACGCGAGCGUUUGAGAUUGCAAUUCCUCUGUGCAAAUUGGCGUUUAGGGCAAUUAAAGACAUUUGAGAUCGCCAAAGCCAUUGCUUUGACUGUUUGCGACUAUGUCGAUUUGAGUUUAGGGUUCUGGCAAGGGUUUUGAUGCAAGGUAG